UUUCUUUCCAGUGGCCUCGGCCGGUGAGGUCAUGUCUUUCCGAGCUCUGCUACACGUGGGGGGUAACCAAAUGAGCUGGUGGCCUCCAUAAGAAGUAAAGAGACUAUUCACAACAAGAGAUUCAGGACCAGCACCUGUAUGUGGACUUCAGGUGACUUGUGAUACUACUCCUGCCCGGGGGCUACUAAGCUUAUUGAGGUCAAGACAGAAGUCUUUGGUCCCAGCAAAGGAAUGAGGAUGAAAAGCCCAGAAACCAGCUUCAGCUCUCACCCCUAUGCAUGAUGCUCCUGGAUGGCAGAGGAAUCUGAAGUGGACAUGAGCUGGAUCUCCAGGGCCUAGAGAAACUAGUUGUGUGUUGAAGAAUAAUUACUAGUUCAUGUUGUGUUUUUUGUGCCAGUACAUAUGCCCUGAGGGUUUUAGAUGGUUUAAUCAUGCAAAUUAAAAUCAUCUAAUUGGAUUUGCUACUUUGAGAAGUAAAAGUAAUUGCUCAUCUAAUCCCUGUUGACUUGAUUGUUAUUUUAAACAAUUCACCUUCUUGGUAAUGAGUGACUGAAAUGACAUUGAAAUGUUAAAUAAACCUUAU
Molecule: long non-coding RNA, 583 nt
Organism: Gracilinanus agilis (Agile Gracile Mouse Opossum)
Lineage: Eukaryota; Metazoa; Chordata; Mammalia; Didelphimorphia; Didelphidae
Exons: 4
Source: RefSeq, a predicted model, not a curated record